RNAcentral lists this ribosomal RNA (387 nucleotides) under Alcaligenes sp. AP04. RNAcentral describes it as "bacterial SSU rRNA". It matches the Rfam family "Bacterial small subunit ribosomal RNA", at positions 1067 to 1459 of the family's 1533-position model. The record is from RNAcentral. Lineage: Bacteria; Pseudomonadati; Pseudomonadota; Betaproteobacteria; Burkholderiales; Alcaligenaceae.
GUGAGAUGUAGGGUUAAGUCCACGCGACGAGCGCAACCCUUGUCAUUAGUUGCUACGCUAGAGCACUUUAAUGAGACUGCCGGUGACAAACCGGAGGAAGGUGGGGAUGACGUCAAGUCCUCAUGGCCCUUAUGGGCAGGGCUUCACACGUCAUACAAUGGUCGGGACAGAGGGUCGCCAACCCGCGAGGGGGAGCCAAUCUCAGAAACCCGAUCGUAGUCCGGAUUGCAGUCUGCAACUCGACUGCAUGAAGUCGGAAUCGCUAGUAAUCGCGGAUCAGAAUGUCGCGGUGAAUACGUUCCCGGGUCCUUGUACACACCGCCCGUCACACCAUGGGAGUGGGUUUCACCAGAAGUAGGUAGCCUAACCGCAAGAGGGCGCUACCCA